Molecule: ribosomal RNA, 253 nt
Filed under: uncultured bacterium
Lineage: Bacteria
Description: partial 16S ribosomal RNA
Rfam family: Bacterial small subunit ribosomal RNA
Source: RNAcentral
UACAGAGGGUGCAAGCGUUAAUCGGAAUUACUGGGCGUAAAGCGUGCGUAGUCGGUUAUCUAAGUCGGAUGUGAAAUCCCCGGGCUCAACCUGGGAAUUGCAUUCGAAACUGAAUAGCUAGAGUUCGGCAGAGGGAAGUGGAAUUUCCGGUGUAGCGGUGAAAUGCGUAGAUAUCGGAAGGAACAUCAGUGGCGAAAGCGACUUCCUGGACCAGAACUGACGAUCAGGCACGAAAGCGUGGGGAGCAAACAGG